CCCUUAGAUGUUCUGGGCCGCACGCGCGCUACACUGAUGCAUUCAACGAGCCUAUCCUUGACCGACAGGUCCGGGUAAUCUUUGAAUCUGCAUCGUGACGGGGAUAGAUUAUUGCAAUUAUUAAUCUUCAACGAGGAAUGCCUAGUAGGCGCAAGUCAUCAGCUUGCGUCGAUUACGUCCCUGCCCUUUGUACACACCGCCCGUCGCUCCUACCGAUUGGGUGUGCUGGUGAAAUGUUCGGAUCGGCCGUUUGUCGCGGUUUCCGCGUCAUGGGGCUGAGAAGUUCAUUAAACCCUCCCACCUAGAGGAAGGAGAAGUCGUAACA
Molecule: ribosomal RNA, 325 nt
Filed under: uncultured eukaryote
Lineage: Eukaryota
Description: partial 18S ribosomal RNA
Rfam family: Eukaryotic small subunit ribosomal RNA
Source: RNAcentral